RNAcentral lists this ribosomal RNA (451 nucleotides) under uncultured bacterium. RNAcentral's name for it is "partial 16S ribosomal RNA". It matches the Rfam family "Bacterial small subunit ribosomal RNA", at positions 29 to 523 of the family's 1533-position model. The record is from RNAcentral.
AACGAACGCUGGCGGCAGGCUUAACACAUGCAAGUCGAACGCGUGUAGCAAUACACGAGUGGCGCACGGGUGAGUAACGCGUGGAUAUCUGCCUUUUGGUUCGGAAUAACCCCGGGAAACUGGGGCUAAUACCGGAUGGUUCCUUCGGGAUAAAGAUUUAUCGCCAAAAGAUGAGUCCGCGUCCGAUUAGCUAGUUGGUGAGGUAAGGGCUUACCAAGGCGACGAUCGGUAGCUGGUCUGAGAGGACGAUCAGCCACACUGGGACUGGGACACGGCCCAGACUCCUACGGGAGGCAGCAGUGGGGAAUAUUGGACAAUGGGGGCAACCCUGAUCCAGCCAUGCCGCGUGAGUGAUGAAGGCCUUCGGGUUGUAAAGCUCUUUUGGCGGGGACGAUGAUGACGGUACCCGCAGAAUAAGCCCCGGCUAACUUCGUGCCAGCAGCCGCCGUAA